UGUCUCCUACGGGAGGCAGCAGGGAAUCUUCCACAAUGGACGAAAGUCUGAUGGAGCAACGCCGCGUGAGUGAAGAAGGGUUUCGGCUCGUAAAGCUCUGUUGGUAGUGAAGAAAGAUAGAGGUAGUAACUGGCCUUUAUUUGACGGUAAUUACUUAGAAAGUCACGGCUAACUACUUGCCAGCAGCCGCGGUAAUACGUAGGUGGCAAGCGUUGUCCGGAUUUAUUGGGCGUAAAGCGAGUGCAGGCGGU
This 251-nucleotide ribosomal RNA is filed under the name uncultured bacterium. Its description in RNAcentral is "partial 16S ribosomal RNA". It matches the Rfam family "Bacterial small subunit ribosomal RNA", at positions 333 to 579 of the family's 1533-position model. The record is from RNAcentral.